GGCCAGACUCCUACGGGAGGCAGCAGUGGGGAAUAUUGCACAAUGGGGGGAACCCUGAUGCAGCGACGCCGCGUGGGCGAGGAAGUAUUUCGGUAUGUAAAGCCCUAUCGGCAGGGAAGAAGAAAUGACGGUACCUGACUAAGAAGCCCCGGCUAACUACGUGCCAGCAGCCGCGGUAAUACGUAGGGGGCAAGCGUUAUCCGGAUUUACUGGGUGUAAAGGGAGCGUAGACGGCAAUGCAAGUCUGGAGUGAAAGGCGGGGGCCCAACCCCCGGACUGCUCUGGAAACUGUAUAGCUGGAGUGCAGGAGAGGUAAGUGGAAUUCCUAGUGUAGCGGUGAAAUGCGUAGAUAUUAGGGGGAACACCAGUGGCGAAGGCGGCUUACUGGACUGUAACUGACGUUGAGGCUCGAAAGCGUGGGGAGCAAACAGGAUUAGAUACCCCGGUA
RNAcentral lists this ribosomal RNA (448 nucleotides) under uncultured bacterium. Its description in RNAcentral is "bacterial SSU rRNA". It matches the Rfam family "Bacterial small subunit ribosomal RNA", at positions 329 to 792 of the family's 1533-position model. The record is from RNAcentral.